CGCAAGCGACUCGCAUGCAAUAGGCAGUAAACACCGACGUUGUGAAUGAAUGAAGAAACUACCACAAAGAGGAAACGAGGCACUUUUGUCCCUGCGUGUCAUUCUAACUGUGGGACUGUGGGUUCUGAGGUUAUUGUCUCUGAAUAAGGAAAUGACUCAGAAGGGAAGUGUGGACAGACGGUGAAUGGCGAGUCUCAGGACCACGACUGUUUUGCUGCCAGUAGCAAGUUCCGGUUUCUUUUCUCCCGUGACUCAAUUGUUGUGAUGAGGAAGGGGCACCGUCAUGUCUGAGAGUCAUGCAAAUCAGCACCGUCAGAAUUCUGGCAGAUCCAGGAAGGACAGCCGGGAGCUUCAGUUUCCACGGGAGUGAUGAAUUUCUUCUCCAUGCAGAGGCAAUGCUAUCAGCUGGGAAACUCCGUUAGUUGUUUCUCUUUCCAAAAUCUACUGGGUGACAGCUAGAGAAAGCUUGUCCUCUGUCUUCUCAUAAUCAUUUCUGCCAGUAAUAAAAUCAACACUUUCGGUUUA
This is a long non-coding RNA of Symphalangus syndactylus (siamang), 525 nucleotides long. RefSeq lists it as uncharacterized. NCBI's taxonomy places the organism in Eukaryota, Metazoa, Chordata, Mammalia, Primates, Hylobatidae. The record is from RefSeq and is a predicted model, not a curated record.